Molecule: long non-coding RNA, 337 nt
Organism: Haliotis rubra (blacklip abalone)
Lineage: Eukaryota; Metazoa; Mollusca; Gastropoda; Lepetellida; Haliotidae
Exons: 3
Source: RefSeq, a predicted model, not a curated record
UGUCGAUUGGCAACCACUUAGCUAACAUACAUAGUGGUCACAGUGAAACCUUUCCAUCUUGUAUGCAUGGAGAAAUUCAAGAUAGAAUUUGGAUUCCUGCUGGAACACGAGCUCACAAGGAGAUAGAAAGCAUCUUAAAGUCCAGAUAUCUCCUGAAAGAUGUAGCCAAACUGUCACCUCAUGGGCAGACAUCAUACCUUGAAGGAUUUCAUAGUGUCAUAUGUCACUUCGCUCCAAAGUUCUACCAUUAUCAUUACAAUGGUAUGAAGGCAAGGUUGUUGAUGUCUGCCCUCCACUUCAAUGAGAAUGGAACACGACUGAAAGCACACACCAAAAC